CGAACUUGAGUGCAAUUAAGAUAGAAGGAUGGUAUAGUCAUGUUCAACUUGUGUGCAGUUGUCCUUAACAAGUUGGAUUGAGAUUCAUCUACUCAGUGUAGACCCUUUUGGAGUUACUAAUGUCACACAAGUUAUUUAUGGAUAGGCAUUAAUUUCUCUAAUUUGGGGUCCGAGAAGCUGAGGACCGUAGAACAUUUACCCCAAAUCGACCUAUUUAGGAUGUAG
RNAcentral lists this long non-coding RNA (225 nucleotides) under Lathyrus oleraceus (garden pea). RNAcentral's name for it is "Pisum sativum (pea) long non-coding RNA (PSAT_LNC014306)". Lineage: Eukaryota; Viridiplantae; Streptophyta; Magnoliopsida; Fabales; Fabaceae. The record is from RNAcentral.